Molecule: ribosomal RNA, 253 nt
Filed under: uncultured bacterium
Lineage: Bacteria
Description: partial 16S ribosomal RNA
Rfam family: Bacterial small subunit ribosomal RNA
Source: RNAcentral
UACGUAGGGCGCAAGCGUUAUCCGGAAUUAUUGGGCGUAAAGAGCUCGUAGGCGGUUUGUCGCGUCGAAUGUGAAAACCCGGGGCUCAACCCCGGGCCUGCAUUCGAUACGGGCAGACUAGAGUUCGGUAGGGGAGUCUGGAAUUCCUGGUGUAGCGGUGAAAUGCGCAGAUAUCAGGAGGAACACCGGUGGCGAAGGCGGGUCUCUGGGCCGAUACUGACGCUGAGGAGCGAAAGCGUGGGGAGCGAACAGG